Molecule: long non-coding RNA, 1974 nt
Organism: Homo sapiens (human)
Lineage: Eukaryota; Metazoa; Chordata; Mammalia; Primates; Hominidae
Gene: MMP25-AS1
Product: MMP25 antisense RNA 1
Source: Ensembl
GUCCCAGCGCGCGUGCGCCCCUGAAGGCGGGUUCCGGUGGCAGCGCCGGGGUCUCAGACCCUGAGGAGACUGAGCCCAGCGCCAGGCGACCGGUCCCCGCCGCCGCCGCCCCUGCGCGGGAGAUCCCCCCUGCUUAGUCCGCGCCCGAGCCCCCGUCCGUGGGAACAGACAAGGGGCCUCCGCAGCGCCUCACAACCCCCGACCAGGUCCAGCGGCGGGGGACUCGGCCGUGGAGGGCGCUGUUCGGUCUGGAUGGCUCCCCCCAUCAGCGGGAGGCUACACCCCCCACCAGCAGGGGCAAGAGGAGCAGCGGGAUGGGAGCAGGCCAACGUCCUGCGGCCUGGUUGAGCUCGCACUGACAAUCGCAGCUCAGGCGCUCAGGACUGCCAGGACCCAGAGGAUUCACACGCCAGCCCCGGCUGAAGCCCAGCUCCUCAUCAACCGGUGAGCCGCCUGCCAGCUCCUGCUCCAGCUGCUGAGAGGCCUGAAGAGACCAAGACAGAGACACAGCCCCGCAGCACCACAGGGAGGCCCCAGUUACCCCAUGCGGAUGAGUUUCAUGGCCAUCUCUAACUAAGGACAGGACAUCGAUGUCAUCUGUAACUUCCGGUGCACUGGGGCACACAGCUGCAUCUCCCCAUGCUCACCUCCUGCCUCUUGCUCUGCCCAGUGCUGGAGUGCAGUGGCACGAUCUCGGCUCACUGCAACCUCUGCCUCCAGGAUUCAACUGAUUCUCCUGCCUCAGCCUCUCCAGUAGCUGGGAUUACAGGCUUGCACCACCACACCCGGCUAAUUUUUUGUAUUUUUAGUAGAGACGGGGUUUCAACAUGUUGGUCAGGCUGGUCUCAAACUCCUGACCUCAGGUGAUCCACCCACCUGUGCUUCCCGAAGUGCUAGGAUUACAGAUGAAAGCAAUCACGCCCGGCCUAUAUUCAUAUAUAUAUUGAGGGAACGAAGUCACCUCUUCUAGGAAGCCUCCCCUUGCCCAAGAGCUUUGGGCCAACAUCUCUGAGCCCCUGCAGGCUUGAGGACUUCCUCUGCUGGGAUUCUGUGGAGCUGUGUCACCGUGGGUGUUGUCAUUGCCAGUCACUCUUCUGACUCAGCUGCCAGGUCUACGCUCCCUCCCAUGGCCCAGGUGGACUGUGAACCUUCUGGGAGUAGGGCUGUAAUCACUUCAUCCUGGGAUGAGCUCAGCCUGGCAGGAGGCGCUCAAGAUGUGCUACGUGUGGGUAACCCAAGUAAGUAGCCCCCAGUCCCCCAAGACUCAGGAGUCCUGAUCCCCAGCCAGAGGUGCACGGACCCAGCUGACACCAGCCAGCCAGAGCUGAUGUGCACAGCCCCUUCUACCUCUGCACUCCGUGACGCCAGUUCUGACCAGGGGACCCCAAACAAGGUGGAGGACCCCCCUCCGCCUCCGAGCCUCAGCUUCCUCAUCUGUAAGAUGGGGAUGACAGCAGUUCCUCGUCAUCAGGUCAUCAUGAAAGUCAACAAGUUGAGCCGGGGAGGUGGCUCACUCUGUAAUCCCAGCACUUUGGGAGGCUGAGGUGGGCGGAUCACGAGGUCAGGAGUUUGAGACCAGCCUGGCCAAAACAUUGAAACACCAUUUCUACUAAAAAUACAAAAUUAGCUGGAUGUAGUGGUGCAUGCCUAUAGUACCCGCUACUCACCAGGCUGAGACAGGAGAAUCACUUGAACCCGGGAGCGGAGGCUGCUGUGAGCUGAGAUGGCACCACUGUACUCCAGCCUGGGCAAGAAGAGUAAAAUUCCAUCUCAAAAAAAAAAAAAAAGGUCAACAAGUUAUGCCUAUAAAAGAGUUUACUUGACCAGAAGCAGAGGCUCAUGCCUGUAAUCCCAGCACUUUGGGAGGCCGAAGCGGGAGGAUUGCUUGAAUCCAGAAGUUUGAGACCAGCCUGGGCAACAUGGUGAAACCCCACCCCUACAAAAAGUACAAAAAUUAGCUGGGCAUGGUGGCAU